GCUGACCGAACAACAGACCACAAACAUAUCCUACUAAAUAAACAAAUCAUUUGACCCACCCAGUAGAUGCGAUCGAACAGUCACAAGUCACAACAAAGUACCGCAAGGGAACCACCAUCAAGCAACAAACAGCAAAGACGAAACCUUGUACCUUUUGCAUCAUGAUUUAGCAAGAAUAUAGGACAAGAAGAAUCACAGCCCACCCCCCCGAAACCGAACGAGCUAUUUUUAAGCAGUCUAACGGACGCACCCUUCUAUGUUGCAAAAUAGUGGGAAGACUUAAAAAUAGAGGUGAAAA
RNAcentral lists this ribosomal RNA (298 nucleotides) under Crotalus armstrongi (Mexican dusky rattlesnake). RNAcentral's name for it is "partial 16S ribosomal RNA". Lineage: Eukaryota; Metazoa; Chordata; Lepidosauria; Squamata; Viperidae. The record is from RNAcentral.